CUACUUUGUCGUGAACGGGGGCUGAUGAGUGGUCAAGAUGAAAGGC
RNAcentral lists this transfer RNA (46 nucleotides) under Alexandrium fundyense. RNAcentral describes it as "partial Selenocysteine transfer RNA". The record is from RNAcentral. Lineage: Eukaryota; Dinophyceae; Gonyaulacales; Pyrocystaceae.